Molecule: ribosomal RNA, 201 nt
Filed under: Triticum aestivum (bread wheat)
Lineage: Eukaryota; Viridiplantae; Streptophyta; Magnoliopsida; Poales; Poaceae
Description: partial small subunit ribosomal RNA
Source: RNAcentral
AUGGUGGAUAUAAAAAAUUGCAUUUUUGUAAUUUACAAUAAUAUCAUGGGCGAUCGACGACAAUUGAACCCGUGUAUGGUGGAUUCACAAUCCACUGCCUUGAUCCACUUGUCUAUACUGAACACGUGCUCCAGAGGUUUGCCCCAUGUGCCUCUCAAGUCGUUUCUGCGGUGGCAAUUAAACCCAUUAAGCGUCGCGUGA